RNAcentral lists this ribosomal RNA (579 nucleotides) under uncultured bacterium. RNAcentral's name for it is "bacterial SSU rRNA". It matches the Rfam family "Bacterial small subunit ribosomal RNA", at positions 338 to 916 of the family's 1533-position model. The record is from RNAcentral.
CCUACGGGAGGCAGCAGUAAGGAAUAUUGGUCAAUGGACGAAAGUCUGAACCAGCCAUCCCACGUGCAGGAUGAAGGUCCUAUGGAUUGUAAACUGCUUUUAGUAGAGAAGAAACGCUUUCAUUUAUGAGAGCCUGACGGUAUCUACAGAAUAAGCACCGGCUAACUCCGUGCCAGCAGCCGCGGUAAUACGGAGGGUGCAAGCGUUAUCCGGAAUCACUGAGUUUAAAGGGUGCGUAGGCGGGUUAUUAAGUCAGUGGUGAAAUACUGUCGCUUAACGAUAGAACUGCCAUUGAUACUGAUAGUCUUGAAUUGGGUUGAGGUUAGCGGAAUGUGACAUGUAGCGGUGAAAUGCAUAGAUAUGUCAUGGAACACCAAUUGCGAAGGCAGCUAACUGGGCCUUGAUUGACGCUGAGGCACGAAAGCGUGGGUAGCGAACAGGAUUAGAUACCCUGGUAGUCCACGCCCUAAACGAUGCUAACUCGAUGUUUGGACAGUAAGUUUGAGCAUCCAAGGGAAACCGAUAAGUUAGCCACCUGGGGAGUACGACCGCAAGGUUGAAACUCAAAUGAAUUGACGG